This 301-nucleotide ribosomal RNA is filed under the name uncultured bacterium. RNAcentral's name for it is "partial 16S ribosomal RNA". It matches the Rfam family "Bacterial small subunit ribosomal RNA", at positions 509 to 807 of the family's 1533-position model. The record is from RNAcentral.
CAGUCGCCGCGGGAAUACGAAGGGUGCAAGCGUUACUCGGAAUUACUGGGCGUAAAGCGUGCGUAGGUGGUGGUUUAAGUCCGUUGUGAAAGCCCUGGGCUCAACCUGGGCAUUGCAGUGGAUACUGGGUCACUAGAGUGUGGUAGAGGAUAGUGGAAUUUCCGGUGUAGCAGUGAAAUGCGUAGAGAUCGGAAGGAACAUCUGUGGCGAAGGCGACUAUCUGGGCCAACACUGACACUGAGGCACGAAAGCGUGGGGAGCAAACAGGAUUAGAUACCCGCGUAGUCCCUGUCUCUUAUAC